AGUGAACGCUGGCGGUAGGCCUAACACAUGCAAGUCGAACGGCAGCACAGUAAGAGCUCGCUCUUACGGGUGGCGAGUGGCGGGCGGGUGAGGAAUACAUCGGCAUCUACUUUUUCGUGGGUGAUAACGUAGGGAAACAUACGCUAAUACAGCAUACGAUCUACGGGUGGAAGCAGGGGAUCUUCGGACCUUGCGCGAUUCAAUGAGCCGAUGUCGGAUUAGCUAGUUGGCGGGGUAAAGGCCCACCAAGGCGACGAUCCGUAGCUGGUCUGAGAGGAUGAUCAGCCACACUGGAACUGAGACACGGUCCAGACUCCUACGGGAGGCAGCAGUGGGGAAUAUUGGACAAUGGGCGCAAGCCUGAUCCAGCCAUACCGCGUGGGUGAAGAAGGCCUUCGGGUUGUAAAGCCCUUUUGUUGGGAAAGAAAAGCAGCAGGUUAAUACCCCGCUGUCCUGACGGUACCCAAAGAAUAAGCACCGGCUAACUACGUG
This 492-nucleotide ribosomal RNA is filed under the name uncultured bacterium. RNAcentral's name for it is "partial 16S ribosomal RNA". It matches the Rfam family "Bacterial small subunit ribosomal RNA", at positions 29 to 507 of the family's 1533-position model. The record is from RNAcentral.